This 969-nucleotide small RNA is filed under the name Pongo abelii (Sumatran orangutan). RNAcentral's name for it is "retained intron". Lineage: Eukaryota; Metazoa; Chordata; Mammalia; Primates; Hominidae. The record is from RNAcentral.
ACCUUGUGUCUGAGCUGGUCUGAAGGCUGGUUGUUCAGACUGAGCUUCCUGCCUGCCUGUACCCCGCCAACAGCUUCAGAAGAAGGUGACUGGUGGCUGCCUGAGGAAUACCAGUGGGCAAGAGAAUUAGCAUUUCUGGAGCAUCUGCUGUCUGAGCAGCCCCUGGGUGCGUCCACUUUCUGGGCACGUGAGGUUGGGCCUUGGCCGCCUGAGCCCUUGAGUUGGUCACUUGAAGCUUGGGAAUAUUGAGAUUAUAUUCUCCUGCCUUUUGAAAAGAUGGACUUCAGCAGAAAUCUUUAUGAUAUUGGGGAACAACUGGACAGUGAAGAUCUGGCCUCCCUCAAGUUCCUGAGCCUGGACUACAUUCCACAAAGGAAGCAAGAACCCAUCAAGGAUGCCUUGAUGUUAUUCCAGAGGCUCCAGGAAAAGAGAAUGUUGGAGGAGAGCAAUCUGUCCUUCCUGAAGGAGCUGCUCUUCCGAAUUAAUAGACUGGAUUUGCUGAUUACGUACCUAAACACUAGAAAGGAGGAGAUGGAAAGGGAACUUCAGACACCAGGCAGGGCUCAGAUUUCUGCCUACAGGGUCAUGCUGUAUCAGAUUUCAGAAGAAGUGAGCAGAUCAGAAUUGAGGUGUUUUAAGUUUCUUUUGCAAGAGGAAAUCUCCAAAUGCAAACUGGAUGAUGACAUGAACCUGCUGGAUAUUUUCAUAGAGAUGGAGAAGAGGGUCAUCCUGGGAAAAGGAAAGUUGGACAUCCUGAAAAGAGUCUGUGCCCAAAUCAACAAGAGCCUGCUGAAGAUAAUCAACGACUAUGAAGAAUUCAGCAGAGGUAGAAACAACCUGACAGCCGGGAAUCGGCAAAACCUACUCUAAAAUUGAAACUGACAAAUCUGUCCAUAUCACAGUUGUUUCUAAUCAAAUAUUGUUUGGGGUUUCCCCUUUUAAUUCAGAGAGAAGAAGCAGCCUUGAAGG